AGUGAACGCUGGCGGUAGGCCUAACACAUGCAAGUCGAACGGCAGCACAGUAAGAGCUCGCUCUUACGGGUGGCGAGUGGCGGACGGGUGGGGAAUACAUCGGAAUCUACUUUUUCGUGGGGGAUAACGUAGGGAAACUUACGCUAAUACCGCAUACGACCUACGGGUGAAAGCAGGGGAUCUUCGGACCUUGCGUGAUUGAAUGAGCCGAUGUCGGAUUAGCUAGUUGGCGGGGUAAAGGCCCACCAAGGCGACGAUCCGUAGCUGGUCUGAGAGGAUGAUCAGCCACACUGGAACUGAGGCACGGUCCAGACUCCUACGGGAGGCAGCAGUGGGGAAUAUUGGACAAUGGGCGCAAGCCUGAUCCAGCCAUACCGCGUGGGUGAAGAAGGCCUUCGGGUUGUAAAGCCCUUUUAUUGGGAAAGAAAAGCAGCAGGUUAAUACCCCGCUGUUCUGACGGUACCCAAAGAAUAAGCACCGGCUAACUUCGUG
This 492-nucleotide ribosomal RNA is filed under the name uncultured bacterium. RNAcentral's name for it is "partial 16S ribosomal RNA". It matches the Rfam family "Bacterial small subunit ribosomal RNA", at positions 29 to 507 of the family's 1533-position model. The record is from RNAcentral.